This 569-nucleotide ribosomal RNA is filed under the name Gastrophryne olivacea (western narrow-mouthed toad). RNAcentral describes it as "partial 16S ribosomal RNA". It matches the Rfam family "Bacterial large subunit ribosomal RNA", at positions 1811 to 2607 of the family's 2925-position model. Lineage: Eukaryota; Metazoa; Chordata; Amphibia; Anura; Microhylidae. The record is from RNAcentral.
AAACAUCGCCUCCUGCAGUAUAUGGGAGGUCCAGCCUGCCCAGUGACCAAGUUAAACGGCCGCGGUACCCUAACCGUGCGAAGGUAGCGCAAUCACUUGUUCUUUAAAUGAGGACUAGUAUGAAUGGCAUCACGAGGGUUACACUGUCUCCCACCUCUAAUCAGUGAAACUGAUCUCCCCGUGAAGAAGCGGGGAUAAAACUAUAAGACGAGAAGACCCCAUGGAGCUUCAAACCCGGCAUCAACCAUUAACAUUAAUACCACAUUAAAUAAAUGGACCUGACUGCUGGUUUUAGGUUGGGGUGACCGCGGAGCAUAACAAAACCUCCAUGAUGAACGACCUCCUCUCUAAUCCGAGAGCCACCACUCAAAGAAUCAAAAAAUUGACAUUUAUUGACCCAAACUAUUUUGAUCAACGAACCAAGUUACCCUGGGGAUAACAGCGCAAUCCAUUUCAAGAGCCCCUAUCGACAAAUGGGUUUACGACCUCGAUGUUGGAUCAGGGUAUCCUAGUGGUGCAGCCGCUACUAAAGGUUCGUUUGUUCAACGAUUAAAACCCUACGUGAUCUG